UACAGAGGUCCCGAGCGUUGUUCGGAUUCAUUGGGCGUAAAGGGUGCGUAGGCGGCGGGGCAAGUCUGAUGUGAAGUCCCGGGGCUCAACCCCGGAACUGCAUUGGAUACUGCCUUGCUUGAGUACUGGAGAGGGAACUGGAAUUUACGGUGUAGCAGUGAAAUGCGUAGAGAUCGUAAGGAAGGCCAGUGGCGAAGGCGAGUUCCUGGACAGUUACUGACGCUGAGGCACGAAGGCCAGGGGAGCAAACGGG
Molecule: ribosomal RNA, 253 nt
Filed under: uncultured bacterium
Lineage: Bacteria
Description: partial 16S ribosomal RNA
Rfam family: Bacterial small subunit ribosomal RNA
Source: RNAcentral